This 253-nucleotide ribosomal RNA is filed under the name uncultured bacterium. RNAcentral describes it as "partial 16S ribosomal RNA". It matches the Rfam family "Bacterial small subunit ribosomal RNA", at positions 524 to 776 of the family's 1533-position model. The record is from RNAcentral.
UACAGGGGGUGCAAACGUUGCUCGGAAUCAUUGGGCGUAAAGCGCACGUAGGCGGUCUGUUAUGUCGGAUGUGAAAGCCCUUGGCUCAACUGAGGAAGUGCAUCCGAAACUGGCAGGCUAGAGUACUAAAGAGGAUCGCGGAAUUCCCGGUGUAGAGGUGAAAUUCGUAGAUAUCGAGAGGAACACCUGCGGCGAAGGCGGGUUGCUGGGCUGACACUGACGCUGAGGCGCGAAGGCCAGGGGAGCAAACGGG